This is a long non-coding RNA of Canis lupus familiaris (dog), 2272 nucleotides long. RefSeq lists it as uncharacterized. NCBI's taxonomy places the organism in Eukaryota, Metazoa, Chordata, Mammalia, Carnivora, Canidae. The record is from RefSeq and is a predicted model, not a curated record. The transcript has 3 exons.
AAUAAAUAUUUGUGGAAUAAGUGAAUAGAAUAGAGAGUGGGGAGAGAAGCAGAGAAUCACACUACACAUAAAUCAGGCACCAUCAAGAUCAAGAUGGGCAUGUUCAUAUCAGCUGUCUCUUCACAGUGGUGCAUGCCAGCUAUUAUCUCCGGGUUAUCCACGGAGCAGGAUUCCUAUAAAAUGACCUAAGCCGCUUAGCUCCCAGAAAACUCGGGUUGCAGCAGAGGUGACAGAGGAGGCUACUGCUUGUUUACUUACAGCCCAUGGAGCCGCCAGCCACCACAGCUUCAGCAUUAUCAAUAUGGAUUUUGAAAUCACCCACAGCUAAUAGCCCAAAUUAAUAGCCUCGGGGUGACUCCAGAGCAAUCGAGAAAGAAAAUCCAUGACUUCACUAAAGACGCCAACGGCUAUUCAGGAAGAGAGGUCUACAUUAAUUAACAGCUGUGAACACUGUAAAAGCUGGUGCAUUCAGGAGAGAGAGGCAGCUAAAAUGAACCAAACACAAGAAUCCCACCAGGCUGUCCAGGUUAGGAAGCAGAGAGCACCACCCUUGGAGAGGCUGGGCUGGAGGUUGCCCAGCUGCCCAGGGGUCUUGCCCCCAGGGAGUCAGACGCGUUCUCCUACCAGCCCUGCGUCCCAUUGCUCACAGCAGCCCCUAGGGCAAAGCCUGGCCUUUCGGCAUCAGCUCCAAGCUAUAGGAACAUUUAGGUUUGGGUUGUGCAUAGAACUCUGUGGUCCUUUUCCUCUGCCACAAAAUCAUUCAGUUCCAAUGGCCUCCUUUCUUGAGGUCCCUGCUGGCUACUUGGCAAGGCGGGAUUCCGCCUGUAAGGAGGGCUAAGGAUGCUAAAACAGUGAUCAUUAUCCUUCAGCAGCCUCUCUCGGAUGCUCUGCACUUAGGGAACUGGUGCCUAAGAAUACUUUCAAUCUCAGGUGAGAAAAGAACAUACACUUAGGAUAAACUGUGGUGUCCAGAGCCUAUAGUAAUCAAGGCAGUUGUACUAAAGGAGUGUAGUGUCCUGGAUUUGAGUCCCAUUUUGUCAUUUGCUACCUGAAUUAAUUUAGGUAAGCCACUUAACCUUCCUGCAUUUCCCAUUUGUGAAAUGAGAUGAAUGCCACCUACUUUGCAGAGAUAUUACAAGAUUCCUUAAACUAAUGCAUAUAUUAUAUACAUUAUACAUGUAAUCUGUAUCCUAAUGUAUAUAAUAUAUAUAGAAUGGUAUUCACAUUUUAAUUAUGUUUUAUUUUUCUGAGUAUAUUUCUCCCUAUGUGAUUUUAUUCAGUGGUAUAGCUUUAAAUACCAUCAAUAUGGUAAAAACUACAAAUUUUCGUUUCUAGCCAGGAUGUCCGUCCCAAACCACAGACUAUAUAUAAACUUGUCUACUCAACAUCUCCUUUUUGAUAUCUAGUAGGCACUUGAAGCUUAACAGUUCCACACCUGAGCUCUCACAUUCCAUUCCCCAUCAGCGCUGAUGGCUCAGGUCAAAAAUUGUGUAAUCAUCUUUUUCCUCCUACUCGUCACAGCCAAUCCUCAGAGCAAUUCCUUUUAGCUCGGUGUUCAAAUAGACCCCAAACAUAUCUCCUUUUCAAUUCUUCCAUCACCACCCUUGUGGACCAUCAUUUCUCACGGGGGUCAUCACCAUGACUUCUAAACUGGAUACUCUGCUUCUGCCUUCAUCCCUUCCAACCUGGUUCAAUCUCCCGCCAGCACAUUGGCUGGGUCCAGGCUUUCAGAUCAUGUGACCAUUGUAUUCAAAACCUUCUGGUGGGUUUCCCAUCUCUAAGUUAAGGGCGAAGUCCUUGCUUUGGCCUACAAAGCUUUAUGUGAUGCCCCUGCCCACCCCCUACCACCUGUCUGGCCUCUUUCUUCCCCCUGUACUUGUUUACUCUGCUCUAGGAACACUGGCCUCCUAACAUUUCCUUGCACAUGAUAAGCGAACUUUUGCCUCAGGGCUUUUGCACUUUGGUGGAAUACUUUCUGGAAUUUUCUUCCCUCGGGUAAGUAUGUAGUUUAACCCUUUACUGCUUUCAGGUUUCUGCCCAAAUAAAACAGACAAGCUUUCCCUGAUCCCCUAUGAAAAUAGCACUUUGCUUGCUCCCCUGCAUUCCUUUUUGUGUUUAGCUGCUUAUUUUUCUUCCUGGCAUUGAUCACCAUUAGAUGUAUUCUAUGUCUAAGUACCAUGUCAUUAUCCCAAGUAGAAUAUCAGAUCCAGGAGAGCAUUGCAUUUUCUGUUGUGUUCCCUGAUGUAAUCCUCAAUAUCCAGAACAGGGUGUG